UUGGGCCGAGCUGGAUUUGAACCAGCGUAGACGUGUUGUCAACGAAUUUACAGUCCGUCCCCAUUAACCGCUCGGGCAUCGACCC
RNAcentral lists this transfer RNA (85 nucleotides) under Helianthemum nummularium. RNAcentral describes it as "tRNA-Tyr". The record is from RNAcentral. Lineage: Eukaryota; Viridiplantae; Streptophyta; Magnoliopsida; Malvales; Cistaceae. RNAcentral also lists the same sequence under 2 other names.